Molecule: transfer RNA, 75 nt
Filed under: Marinivivus vitaminiproducens
Lineage: Bacteria; Pseudomonadati; Pseudomonadota; Alphaproteobacteria; Geminicoccales; Geminicoccaceae
Description: Geminicoccaceae bacterium SCSIO 64248 tRNA-Glu
Rfam family: tRNA
About the family: Transfer RNA (tRNA) molecules are approximately 80 nucleotides in length. Their secondary structure includes four short double-helical elements and three loops (D, anti-codon, and T loops). Further hydrogen bonds mediate the characteristic L-shaped molecular structure. tRNAs have two regions of fundamental functional importance: the anti-codon, which is responsible for specific mRNA codon recognition, and the 3' end, to which the tRNAs corresponding amino acid is attached (by aminoacyl-tRNA synthetases). tRNAs cope with the degeneracy of the genetic code in two manners: having more than one tRNA (with a specific anti-codon) for a particular amino acid; and 'wobble' base-pairing, i.e. permitting non-standard base-pairing at the 3rd anti-codon position.
Source: RNAcentral
GCGCCCAUCGUCUAGGGGUCAGGACACGGCCCUUUCAAGGCCGGAACACGGGUUCGAAUCCCGUUGGGCGUACCA